Long non-coding RNA from Centruroides sculpturatus (bark scorpion), 593 nucleotides. RefSeq lists it as uncharacterized. The record is from RefSeq and is a predicted model, not a curated record. Lineage: Eukaryota; Metazoa; Arthropoda; Arachnida; Scorpiones; Buthidae. The transcript has 4 exons.
AACAAAAGAAGUAUGAUAUUUAUAAAUUAUCUGAAACAGAUAUUUGCCAGAAAAAUCCAUUACUGUAAUAAAUCAUCAUCUACAUGAAUAAUUUAAUUUGUGUAUAUGAAUGAGGAUAUUUGUUUGGACGUUUAUUCACCAUGCACGCCUAUGCCGUUCGGCCAAUUGUUACGAAACUCUGAAGUUACGUUCAAAUACAUCAAACUUGGAUAAUGUCAUACAUCCCACCCAAAAUUUCCGAUUGGAUUUCUACAUAUUGAUUAAUUUCUGUCAACAUUUGAUUGCUGGCUCUACAUGUAGCACCAUCUAUUAGGAAAAAUUUAACAAAAUAAUUAAUAGAAUUUAUAUGGUGUAAGGCCAAGUUCAGUGUUGAAGACAGCUGUUCAUUAUAUUGAUUCAAGUUAUAAUAUCCAACGACAAAUCCAUAGCCAGCUGUUCUAUAAAAAAUAAAAUUGACAAUAAAGUACAAGACCUGUCCUCACAAAAUCAUAGAAUAAUUAUAGCUAUACAGCUUUUUUAUUCAAGUAUUAACGAUGUUCCAAAUAUAAUACUGUACUUCCUUUCAAAUCAUCGAUGUUAAUAGAAAAAUUGAC